Molecule: ribosomal RNA, 288 nt
Filed under: uncultured soil bacterium
Lineage: Bacteria
Description: partial 16S ribosomal RNA
Rfam family: Bacterial small subunit ribosomal RNA
Source: RNAcentral
AGAACGAACGCUGGCGGCAUGCCUAAUACAUGCAAGUCGAACGAAGGCUUCGGCCUUAGUGGCGCACGGGUGCGUAACGCGUGGGAAUCUGCCCCUUGGUUCGGAAUAACAGUUGGAAACGACUGCUAAUACCGGAUGAUGACGAAAGUCCAAAGAUUUAUCGCCAAGGGAUGAGCCCGCGUAGGAUUAGCUAGUUGGUGAGGUAAAGGCUCACCAAGGCGACGAUCCUUAGCUGGUCUGAGAGGAUGAUCAGCCACACUGGGACUGAGACACGGCCCAGACUACCGU